AUACGUAGGUGACAAGCGUUAUCCGGAUUUACUGGGCGUAAAGGGCGUGUAGGCGGUCUUGCAAGUCAGAAGUGAAAUUCCUGAGCUCAACUCGGGCGCUGCUUCUGAAACUGCAGGACUUGAGUGCUGGAGGGGAUAGCGGAAUUCCUAGUGGAGCGGUAAAAUGCGCAGAUAUUAGGAAGAACACCGGUGGCGAAGGCGGCUAUCUGGACAGUAACUGACGCUGAGGCGCGAAAGCGUGGGGAGCAAACAGGAUUAGAUACCCGGGUAGUCCACGCCGUAAACGAUGAAUACUAGGUGUAGGGGGUAUCGACUCCCGCUGUGCCGCAGUUAACACAAUAAGUAUUCCGCCUGGGGAGUACGGCCGCAAGGUUGAAACUUAAAGGAAUUGACGGGG
Molecule: ribosomal RNA, 397 nt
Filed under: uncultured bacterium
Lineage: Bacteria
Description: partial 16S ribosomal RNA
Rfam family: Bacterial small subunit ribosomal RNA
Source: RNAcentral